Molecule: ribosomal RNA, 110 nt
Filed under: Varanus gouldii (Gould's goanna)
Lineage: Eukaryota; Metazoa; Chordata; Lepidosauria; Squamata; Varanidae
Description: partial 16S ribosomal RNA
Source: RNAcentral
CAUUCUCUUCAGUACGAAAGGACCAAGAGAAUAGGACCCAUAUUCCCAACAAGUCCUUCUCCCCACGAAACAAUAUUAACCCCACAGUCUCACCCCACCCAAAAACAGGG